GGUGGGGUUCCCGAGCGGCCAAAGGGAGCAGACUGUAAAUCUGCAGUCAUCGACUUCGAAGGUUCGAAUCCUUCCCCCACCACCA
Molecule: transfer RNA, 85 nt
Filed under: Escherichia coli
Lineage: Bacteria; Pseudomonadati; Pseudomonadota; Gammaproteobacteria; Enterobacterales; Enterobacteriaceae
Also listed under: 3 other names
Description: tRNA-Tyr
Rfam family: tRNA
About the family: Transfer RNA (tRNA) molecules are approximately 80 nucleotides in length.
Source: RNAcentral